GGUGGCUGCGCACUGCAAGCCGGUGAACUUGGCCAGGUC
RNAcentral lists this non-coding RNA (39 nucleotides) under Phaeocystis antarctica. The record is from RNAcentral. Lineage: Eukaryota; Haptophyta; Phaeocystales; Phaeocystaceae.